Molecule: long non-coding RNA, 1930 nt
Organism: Felis catus (domestic cat)
Lineage: Eukaryota; Metazoa; Chordata; Mammalia; Carnivora; Felidae
Exons: 5
Source: RefSeq, a predicted model, not a curated record
UUCAAGCCCAGCACUGAGUUUGCUACUGUCAGCGCAGAGCCGGCUUCAGCUCCUCCCCUGUUCGUGCUCUUUCUCUCAAAAGUUGAUAAAACAUUAAAAAAUAAAUAAAGCGCGGUGGAAUUACAAUGAUUAGAGAAAUGCCCAGCGGAGUACAAAUAAGUAUCACCUGCAGUCCCAAGUGACUCAAAGCUUCCUGGAGGGACGGAUGCUCGCCUUGCUCCAAUUUCACAGGUGGGGUCACUGAAACGGCAGAGACCCUGGAGUCGCGGGGCAGACUGCAGCGUUAGGAAAUCGGGCUUCCCCACCGCACGAGCCUGGGGGUCCUCAGAGUGGGCCUGGGAACAGCUCAGGCAGCGGAGACGGAGGAGAACUUCCAGAAACGAGAAGGUUGUUUCCAAGAGGUACCCAUGAGGAACUGAUGUGAUCCCAAAAUGAGGUUGAUAGGGGAUUUUGUUCACUGUUGUCCUGCCAGGGAUCCAGACUGAUGGAGCUGCCACCAUCUUGAAACUGCUGGUCACUAUAGAGACAAGGGGCUCUGGAGGGUCUUGCAGCAAUAAUUAAAUGCUUGGUCUGCAAGUGACUGUCAUUUCUAUCCAUAUUUCAUGGUCAGAAUUGGUCACAUCUUCCCCUCCCUCCCGUGUCCCCCUAGUGGCUCGGCAUGCUGUCACAGACAGGUAUCACCUAUUGAACCCUCCAGGAAACCUGAGCUGCAGAGCUGCCUUACCCAAGGCUUACCCCCUUGCUAGGGCAGCCUACAUGCAGGGACUGUUCCAGUUACAGAAGCAACCGGCUACAGAAAGACCCCCUCCUGUGAUGGCAGGUGCAGAACCCUCUUACGCCAUUUAUGGGCCUUUGUGAAGAGCACAAGGGACUCAUCAGGUUUUGGUACCUGUGACUCUACAACCCCUGGAGAAAGCUCCACUGUUCCAGAAUGCCUUCCUUCUACUGGAAAGAGGGCAGUAAAUGUGUAGAGGCUGAGCGGACUGCCAGGACUCACUUCAUGAUCAUGUGUGCUGAACCAUAAAGUGAUAAAAUAAAGCGGCAGCCUUGAUGGCCUUAGAAUCUAAGGCUGAAAUUAUCUAUUUCCAACUGCCUCCAGCUGAGAAGCGGUUCCCAGGACAGCACUGGAACCCAGUGCUGGGAGGCAGUUUCUUGACCCACCCUCCUUCCUCAAUCAUCUCAGCUGGUUCUCUUUGGCUUGGCUCAGAGACUGACCUUGAAUGACCUCACUGAUCCUGUCCACAGGGACCCCGGAUGUUCUUAGAGUCACAGACUGUUAGUGCUGGAAGGUACAUUUAAUCCAACUUUUCUGUUACGGAGGAGGAAGUGGAGGUUCAGGGAUAAGGGGUGAACUGCCUGUGGUCUUUUGGCUAAUUAGCUACAGUGUUCUGACUGAACUGUGGUCUCUCCCUCCAGCCCAGUGCUAUUUAAUCUUCAACAGUGGCUCUCAUGUGUGUUCUCACAUGAAGCUGGUGGUCAGGCAGAUGGACUGAGGUCCCGUCCUGCCAAAAUCCAAUAUUGGAGGUCUUUCUCCACUGUACAGAAAAAAGAGAUUAAUGAAUUCUCUUCAACCUUAAAUUAUUUUCCAUUAAUUCUUAAACCACCAUCACCUGCUACCAACUGUCUACUAGCCAAUGCUGGCAGACAACGGAACAAAGAUUAGCCACAAAUGAAUAUGAACAAGAACAACCAAAGCCUUGGAAACCAAGUAUCAUUUUUUGUUAAAUGGCUUUUUAAAAAACAGACUGUUAAGACCAUGAGUUUUCUAUUGCAUUCAUACAAUAAAAUCGUGCAUUCUGGAGACACUGUUUUAAAUUCAAAUGCUAGACUAUAACAUUAUUUCAUGGUUUUUCCCAAAGAGCACUAUGAGCUCCAGGGACUGUCCUGGGAACAUCCUGCAUUUCCCUUGAUGUGAUUUUGGGUCAUCUCC